CAGAGCUAGAGAGGAGGCAAGAUGUUGGCAUAGCUGUUGACCUAAGAACCUGCUAUGCCAACAUCUUGUCAUCUUUCUUGUCUAC
This 85-nucleotide microRNA precursor is filed under the name Alligator mississippiensis (American alligator). RNAcentral describes it as "microRNA ami-mir-31 precursor". Its record names the gene ami-mir-31. It matches the Rfam family "mir-31 microRNA precursor family". The record is from miRBase by way of RNAcentral. Lineage: Eukaryota; Metazoa; Chordata; Crocodylia; Alligatoridae.